Molecule: ribosomal RNA, 482 nt
Filed under: uncultured bacterium
Lineage: Bacteria
Description: partial 16S ribosomal RNA
Rfam family: Bacterial small subunit ribosomal RNA
Source: RNAcentral
AUUGAACGCUGGCGGCAUGCCCUACACAUGCAAGUCGAACGGUAACGGGCCUUCGGGUGCCGACGAGUGGCGAACGGGUGAGUAAUACAUCGGAACGUGCCCGAUCGUGGGGGAUAACGAGGCGAAAGCUUUGCUAAUACCGCAUACGAUCUACGGAUGAAAGCAGGGGACCGCAAGGCCUUGCGCGGACGGAGCGGCCGAUGGCAGAUUAGGUAGUUGGUGGGAUAAAAGCUUACCAAGCCGACGAUCUGUAGCUGGUCUGAGAGGAUGAUCAGCCACACUGGGACUGAGACACGGCCCAGACUCCUACGGGAGGCAGCAGUGGGGAAUUGUGGACAAUGGGCGCAAGCCUGAUCCAGCCAUGCCGCGUGCAGGAUGAAGGCCUUCGGGUUGUAAACUGCUUUUGUACGGAACGAAAAGCCUUCUUUUAAUACAGGAGGGUCAUGACGGUACCGUAAGAAUAAGCACCGGCUAACUACGUG